GGAAGACAACCAUGAUCUAGGUCAAGAUACAGACAAAUUUGAAUCUCUGGUAAUUACUUGGAAAGAAUUUUAGCCAAGGAUUGAGGUAGGUGCACUAACAACUACAGUAUGACAAAAGAGUGAAUCUUAGAAAGCUUUUCUUCAGCAGGAAAGGUAAGUUAGUUAAUUUUUAUUGUGCUAAUCUACCAAUCCCAACUUCACCUUGUAUGAAUUACACAUGGUGUGUUGUCUAUAGUUUUUACCAAGACAUGACUACCCGGAUGGUGAGAAGAAGAAGGUUUGGUUUAUUAAGCCAAUUAAAUCAAUGAAGUUAUAAAACAAUAAAAAAACAUGAUAAUCCACCCUAGCCCUUCCCACCCUUUCUCAGCCAGACAGUCACACA
Molecule: unclassified non-coding RNA, 382 nt
Filed under: Hevea brasiliensis (rubber tree)
Lineage: Eukaryota; Viridiplantae; Streptophyta; Magnoliopsida; Malpighiales; Euphorbiaceae
Source: RNAcentral